AACGAACGCUGGCGGCAUGCCUAACACAUGCAAGUCGAACGAGACCUUCGGGUCUAGUGGCGCAGGUGUACGUAACGCGUGGGAACCUACACUUAGGUUCGGUAUACCUCACCGAGGGGUGUCCUAAUACAGGAUAAUGUAUUCGGACCAAAGAUUUAUCGCCUUUGGAUGGGCGCGUGUUGGAUUAGCUAGUUGGUAGUGUACAAGCAUAGCAAGGCGACGAUCCAUAGCUGGUCUGAUAGGAUGCUCAGUCACAAUGGGAAUGCGACACGGACUACAACCGGAGGCGAGGGAGCAGUAGGGAAUAUUGGACAAUGGGGGCAAGCCUGAUCCAGCAGUGUGGCGUGAGUGAUGAAGGGCGUAGGGUUGCACAGCUGUUUUUCACGGGACGAGAAUGACAGUAACGGGAGAAGAAGCACCGGCUAACUACGUG
Molecule: ribosomal RNA, 433 nt
Filed under: uncultured bacterium
Lineage: Bacteria
Description: partial 16S ribosomal RNA
Rfam family: Bacterial small subunit ribosomal RNA
Source: RNAcentral